Molecule: ribosomal RNA, 497 nt
Filed under: uncultured bacterium
Lineage: Bacteria
Description: partial 16S ribosomal RNA
Rfam family: Bacterial small subunit ribosomal RNA
Source: RNAcentral
GAUGAACGCUGGCGGCGUGCCUAAUACAUGCAAGUCGAGCGAACGGACGAGAAGCUUGCUUCUCUUAUGUUAGCGGCGGACGGGUGAGUAACACGUGGAUAACCUACCUAUAAGACUGGGAUAACUUCGGGAAACCGGAGCUAAUACCGGAUGAUAUUUUGAACCGCAUGGUUCAAAAGUGAAAGACGGUCUUUCUGUCACUUAUAGAUGGAUCCGCGCUGCAUUAGCUAGUUGGUAAGGUGACGGCUUACCAAGGCAACGAUGCAUAGCCGACCUGAGAGGGUGAUGGGCCACACUGGAACUGAGACACGGUCCAGAAUCCUACGGGAGGCAGCAGUAGGGAAUCUUCGGCAAUGGGCGAAAGCCUGACGGAGCAACGCGGCGUGAGUGAUGAAGGGCUUCGGAUCGUAAAACUCUGUUAUUAGGGAAGAACAGAUGUGUAAGUAACUGUGCACAUAUUGACGGUACCUAAUCAGAAAGCCACGGCUAACUACGUG